This 585-nucleotide long non-coding RNA is filed under the name Cyanistes caeruleus (blue tit). RNAcentral describes it as "lncRNA (ENSCCEG00000003358.1)". Lineage: Eukaryota; Metazoa; Chordata; Aves; Passeriformes; Paridae. The record is from RNAcentral.
AUGCGCUCCUCCUGCUGGGGACAUGCUGUCCACGAGGGACUCCUGCACGAGACUCUCAGCACAGGAUUCCUCUCAGCUGCCCUGGAGUCAGUGUCAUCCAGAAAAGAGAGACAAGAAAUCACAGCAUUAAAAGAAGGAGGCAGCAAGGAUUCUCCCUCCUGCAACAAUUCUUCAUCCACAGGAGCUUCUGUAAGUGCUGUUUUGUGUCUCCCCUCAGCUUCCCAGAGCUGUCAUACAGUUCAAACUGUCCUUAGCACAACUGGGUUGAAGUGAGAUUUUAAUUAAUCCAGUGGAAUCAGGAAGAGGGCUUGAGCACGGCUACGGUGCAAGAUACACUUGAGAGAAUUUUUUACUGUGUCUGAACCAAUCUUGAGUUAAUCCUGAAGCUAAUUUGAGAUCAAAAGCACAGAGACUGUUUGAAAUCUUAUCUGAAUCAGACUGCCAGAUCAUUUGAGGCAAACAUUAAAUAAGAUUGCUUCAAUUACUCCAAUCAGUCAAUCUUGGUAACUAAGAUUGAGUUCUUCAUUUCAGAGGCUGAUCAACUACUAUGAGAUUCAGGUAAUAAAUGGGAUAAAUCAACUGGCA